GACGAACGCUGGCGGCGUGCUUAACACAUGCCAGUCGAACGGAAAGGCCCUGCUUUUGUGGGGUGCUCGAGUGGCGAACGGGUGAGUAACACGUGAGUAACCUGCCCUUGACUUUGGGAUAACUUCAGGAAACUGGGGCUAAUACCGGAUAGGAGCUCCUGCUGCAUGGUGGGGGUUGGAAAGUUUCGGCGGUUGGGGAUGGACUCGCGGCUUAUCAGCUUGUUGGUGGGGUAGUGGCUUACCAAGGCCUUGACGGGUAGCCGGCCUGAGAGGGUGACCGGCCACACUGGGACUGAGAUACGGCCCAGACUCCUACGGGAGGCAGCAGUGGGGAAUAUUACACAAUGGGCGGAGGCCUGAUGCAGCCACGCCGCGUGCGGGAUGACGGCCUGCGGGUUGUAAACCGCUUUCGCCUGUGACGAAGCGUGAGUGACGGUAAUGGGUAAAGAAGCACCGGCUAACUACGUG
RNAcentral lists this ribosomal RNA (468 nucleotides) under uncultured bacterium. Its description in RNAcentral is "partial 16S ribosomal RNA". It matches the Rfam family "Bacterial small subunit ribosomal RNA", at positions 28 to 507 of the family's 1533-position model. The record is from RNAcentral.